AGCCGAACAAUUGUGCGCUCCGCGGAGAGGAGGGUUAACGGAUGUGACAUCAGCAGGCGCAAUUUCCCGUGCAAAUAGCAGAAACCACUAAACCCGAAAUUGUCCCGAAUUGCGCGCGAGUCGUCUUACGUGGUUCAUAACACCCCGCGGUUUAACGUAAUCUUGUCCCAUACGUCGAGUCUGCGCUUGCGAUCAUCGGGUAUCGAUCGAUCGCACGGUCUAACCGGAAAAGAGGAUUUCCACGCCGUACUACAAUGACGGAAUAAUGGCGUGACACGAAUGUACACGCAUUGCAAACAGUGCAAACCGCAUCGUAUGGGAGAGAUUCGAACGAUAUUGGAGGCAAGCAGUUUCUCCCGUCUGCAGUGAAGAACACGAAGGGUAGGACGGCACUAUUCUCUGCUACGGUACACACUUGACAAGACGAGAACGACGACGACGACGACGAUGACAACGACGAUGACAAGGGCGCCAAGCGCUGAGAAUCGCAGAUUACGCGAGAGUCGCUGACGCAGUCGCAGCCUUUUGUGGUGGGAUUAAUGUCGGUUGUAUAUCCGAACACCAAUUGCUAUUGGCGACAUUUAUAAAUCAUCCGAGCUAUGCAAAACUCGAGACACGUUCAACCGGACACAUUUUUUUAAAUGUUAAAAAGUGAUGUAAUAUUAAAUCUUUUGAAUUCUCAAUAAAUACCUGACAAUCAAUGCGA
Long non-coding RNA from Wasmannia auropunctata (little fire ant), 706 nucleotides. RefSeq lists it as uncharacterized. Lineage: Eukaryota; Metazoa; Arthropoda; Insecta; Hymenoptera; Formicidae. The transcript is spliced from 2 exons. The record is from RefSeq and is a predicted model, not a curated record.